CCGCGCGGGUGUUGGGAGCUAGGGGCGGCGGAGCGGGGCGGAGGUGGCCGGCCUGGCGGUGGUUUGGCAGGGGGGAAGCGCCUAGGUCAGCCCCAGCAUCCCCACGAGUGCACGACCUCGGGCGCCGACUACGGCUUCGGGCGCCGACUAUGCCCCGCUGGGCGGGCUUCCGCGAGUCCUGGCAGGUCUGGAUGUCCAGGGCUUGGAAACACAGAAGCUGAGGGACAGAAAGGCCAGGCUAUGGCUCAUAGGCGGCAGAGCCCGGAUUCAGUCAUCAUCUGGCUCCAGCUAAGUACUCAGUGUAGAGCCCUACACAAAUAUCAUCUGGAGAGAGAAACGUUCAAGGAGAGAAAGAAGAUAGAUGAAUUAAAGAAUGUUAAUAAAAGCUAUUGAAUUAUGUGUCGUUUCUGCUCAGAAUAAUGGGCUCAGGAAGUCUCAUCAGAAUAUUUAGAGAAUUUCUCAGUGCAAAAUGGAACUUGGCAACCUAAUGUCAGUCCACAUUUUCAUGUACUAAUCAUUCAUUUAUUGUUCUUUGACAUGCAAAAGGUUAGGAGCCCUUGUUAUGGACGGUUACAUUUAAGCUGAGGUUAGAAGAGAGAGAUGCUCGUAUAUAUGGACGUUCCUGCCACUUGCCUGCCAGUGAUUUAACCACAUCUGUGUUAAGGGUAAAUUAAUUUGCAAGAAAGAAAAAAUAUAUGCUUGCUUUUUAAGACUGGUUUUGAAUGUUUUUCUCGCAUGUGUCUUGGGGAGUGGGUGGAGGAGGUGGAUGUAAGAGACACCUGUGCCCACAGUGGUGCAGAAUUUGGACUAUAGCUCUGGAAAGCUGCUGUUGCCAACAUGAGUGCUGGUUUUAGAAGCAUUUUCCCCCCACAUAAACUCUUAUGGAGUUUAGAUAAAAUUAGGCUUGACAAAUGAAAACUUGAACCUUUGUAUAUCCAGGCCCCUUCCACCCCCAUUUUUCACAAGGGGACAGGAGAAAGAGUGAGUCUGUGUGUCUAAGCAGAUCAGUGGUAAUAGAGUCUUUAAUGCUCCACAUUGAAGGCCGGCUGCGUCCUGGAUCCCUCAUUCAUCUCACCUACAGUAGCAAAGCUUUUCAUCUAUUUGCAAAUGGAUGCCUCUCAGGAGUAGAGCUGUAUCCAUAAUUUUAGGGAAUAUGUCAUCUUUGAAGAGGGAUUCAAGGAGAAUGACAAAGGUGGUAAAAGGACUGAAUAAUAUCAAAAGAUGUUUAAAAGACUGUAGGGAUUCCCUAUCUGAACUCUGGGCAGUGAUCUUACAGGAGCUUAUCUGCCCUGCGUUCCUCCCAGCAUAAGUACUUUAAGAAAUGAUCAAAGAUUUUCUUGAAAACUUGCUAGACAAUGCUUGUAAAUAACAGACUCUCUUUCUACUCUGCCUUGGAUGGCAAUCCCUGUGUAUGGUAAAGUAAGAGGCUCUGAAGUCAGAGGAUUCAAAUUCUUGCUCGACCCCUUACUACUGUCAACUCACAACCUUGCCUCAGUUUCCUCCUCUCUGCAAUGGGAAUAAUAGUUCCUACUCCAUAGGGCUGUUGUAAAUAGAAGUAAUAAGCAUGUAAUAAACACAAACUACUGCUAUUCAUAUAUUUUAAUUUUUAUUAUUGCUGUUUCUUUCUGGGAGGAAAGCCUCUCUCCUGCCCCUUUUCUCGUCUACUGUGCGCUGUCUUCCCUCUUUGAGUCUAGAGGGUCCUGAUUCAAAUGAACAUAUGUACUAGUUGAUUCUUUCAGCUUCCUUGAAACUAAAGCAUCUGCACAUGAACAACAAAAAAAUACUCUAAUGUUUAUAGGGCAGAUCAUUUAUUUUGGUUAACUAUCAUAUAUUUAAGCAAAUUAAUCAAAAUUUUAUAUGACAAUAUUUCUAUUCAAAAUCAUGUAGAGAAAAAAUGCAAAGUAUUUAAGCAAAUUAUACAUUCUGUUAACAAUCUGCAGACUUCUCUCUCCCCACAACCUUUAACAACUCAGCAAUGGAAAUGUUGGGAGGAGAUAAGCACACCAGUGAAGAUGAGAUGAUGGAAUAUUCUAUGUCCUUCCUAGUUCCUGCUUUGCAAAAAAAGAGAAAGAGAUACAUGGCCUUGAGGAGUAGAAUCAUGACCUGAUCUGGCACACAGGUUGUGCCUUGAACCUGUCUGCCCUGAAAUGACUGGCUAAGCUGUUGGAGGUUGAGAUAGAGGAGCUAAAAAGGCCCUGUUUAUUCACACACUCCCGAGCAACACAUUUUGUGAUUAAAUUAAAAGGGAGUAAGGGGGUUACAUCUCCUUCUUAGAAAUGUUGAAUUGACCUAAGCUUGAAGAGCACUAUUUUGAAUCAUUAAUUCAUUCAACCAAUAAUCAUUGGACACCCAAUGCAUCCAGGCAAUGUUCUGGACCCUGGAGAUCAAACAGGACCAAGUCCGUGUUCUCAUGGAACUUGUGAUCUAGUGGGAAAACAAUACAGAAAAAACUCCACAGAAAUUCACAGCAGAGCCAGUUGUCUCAAGACAUAGAAGCGCCCUGAGGGUGGGCUUGGUGGCUUAUGCGCCGUAUUCACUAUGCUUAAUAUUCACUCAAGAGACCUAGGGCUGUGUUUUUGUGUCCUUAUACUAAUUACCAAAGCCGUUACUUCCAGUUAAAGCUGUGAAUAUUUCUGACCUCUCAAAAAUGAUUCACAUGGCUUUGGAGAUCUAUUUUUGUCCCACUUUCUCAAGUUCAUGUCCUUUUUCAUAACCAACUGGGAAAAUACUGCCCUGUCAUAAGUGUAAUAGUAUAAGAUCCAUGAUACUUGAGCUAUUGUGAUACUGACAUGAUGAGAAGCAAAACUUUGAUUUACCUAACGUAAAUUUAUGCUCUAAAAUUGCAGUUACCUACCUAGGGUUUUACUCUUCUUUUUUUUUUUUUUGGUAUGCCUUCUUACAUUUCAGUGUAAAUUUUAAUGAGUCAAAAAUCUUGGCUGAGGCCAAAACAUGGAUUAUAUUACAGGUGCUGGUAAAGCCAUGAGAAUGACCUUCAGAUGGCUUGUGGUCUGUGAGGGAGGGUUGGUUUUAACCUUAACCUCCGCUACAACCCGUAUGAAAAACGUGGUAAAUCAAGCCAGGGCAUGCUAGGUGUUGCAUUUCAGCUACGGAGUGAUAUCUAAUACCAAGUCAACUUCUGUUUUUAACUCUGGGUGUACUGUAUUAAGUUAGGGACAAAUCUUCCCUCAAAUAUCCCCUACAGGUUAUUGAUUAAUUUUACUGGGAAAAAAAUGGUACCUUUACAAUGGGCAGAUACCAUCACCAAUGAAUCUAACAUCAUCGUUAAAUGUGGUUAUUGACUGGCAUUAUGUUCUCCCUGAGGAGAAGCCAUGGGAAGUGCACAGCAUCAUCUAGGUAAUAUUCUGACCAAAGAAUGUAUAAUCUGAUCAUGAGGAAAUAAGCAGACGAAUACAGAUUGUGGGUUAUUCUGCAAAGCAACUGGCUUGGAUUCUUUAAGAAGGUCAAUUCUGUGAAAGACAGUCGAACAGACAAAAAAGUUGGAGGAGUGCUCCAAAUUAAAAGAGAUGAAACAGACAUGGCAGCUGAGUGAUGGGGUUCUAGAUCCAAAAUUGAAGAAAAGCAGAGUAUAGAGGGGAAGCAAGGGGAGGAAGGAGGAAAAUAUCUAUAAAGGACGUUUGGGGGAAAGUUGGAGUAAUUUGAAUAUAGUCUUGUUAUUAGAUACUCUUUUGUAUUGGUGUUAAAUUCCUUGAAUCUGAUCAUUAUGAAGGAGAAAGUCUUUGUUCUUAGGAGGUACAUGCUGAAAUAUUUUAGGUGUGAAAUGUCAUGAGGUCUCUAACUUACAAAUGGUUCAAGACAAAAGUAAACAUAUGGAGAGAGAGAAAGAGAGAAGGAAAUGAAUGUGGUGAAAUGUUCAUUGGUAAAUUUAGUUGAAGGGAAUGGUGUUCAUUCUGUUCAAUUUAUCUAUAGGUUGCAAAAUUUUCAGAAUAAAAAUGGAGAGACAAGGAAAGUCUAUGUGAGGGAAAUUAUUAUAGAAAUCUGGAAUGAAAGCAAAAAGACGUAAGGAAACACAUGGAUACAACUUAGGUGUGACACUUGAGAGAAGUAAAGCCCAGGACGAUAGAAGGAACUCUGGUGUGGGAAUCACUGAGGUUAUGUUCUUGUGUGUCCUCUGCCAUGACCAGCCAUGUGAUCGUGGGCCAUUUGGCUAAACUCUCUGUAUUCAUUUCCUAUGGCUGUUGUAACAAGGUACCACAAACUGUGUGGCUUAAAGCAACAGAAAUGUAUCGUUCUCACAGUUCUGGAGGUCAGAAGUCCAAAAUCGAGGUGUCGGCAUGGCCAUGCUCCCGCCGAAAGCUUUGGGGAGAAUCCUUCCUUGCCUCUUCCUCACAUCGGGGGUUUGCCAGCAACCCUCAGUGCUCCCCGGCUUGCAGCUGCAGUACUUCAAUCUCUCGCUGUCUUCACAGGGCCUUCUCCCAUGAAUCUUUUCUUCUGUGAUGACAGCAGUUAUAUUGGAUUAGGGUCUACCUUAAUGACCUCAUCUUAAACUUGAUUACAGCUGCAAAGACCAUAUUUCCAAAUAGGGUUUCAUUCACAGGUAGUGGACUUUGACAGACCUUUUUAGGGGACACAAUUCAAUCAAUAACACUCUGCACCUUUGUUUUUCCAAAUCACAAACAAGCUUGGGGGAUGCUGUGGAGCUGGUGAGCCAAAAUGGAGUCUGAAGUCCCUUUCUCAGAAAGUCUAUUCUGUGUGUCCAUCCUUCUGACAAAUAAAAAUGGCAAGCAAUAGGAUGUAUUGGAGUAUAUGAGGAAGCCAUUUGGUGUAAACCUAAUUCCGCCUGACCUUGUCUGUCCAAAAGCGCCUGACCGAGGCCUGUUGAGCAUGCAUUGUAUAUCUGCUUUAGAUAUUCCCUAUGGCAAGAACAAAGGCCCUUGAGAUAAAGGUGCA
Non-coding RNA from Equus caballus (horse), 4908 nucleotides. NCBI's taxonomy places the organism in Eukaryota, Metazoa, Chordata, Mammalia, Perissodactyla, Equidae. The record is from RefSeq and is a predicted model, not a curated record.